This 1484-nucleotide ribosomal RNA is filed under the name uncultured bacterium. Its description in RNAcentral is "16S ribosomal RNA". It matches the Rfam family "Bacterial small subunit ribosomal RNA". The record is from RNAcentral.
UGGCUCAGGAUGAACGCUAGCGACAGGCCUAACACAUGCAAGUCGAGGGGCAUCGGGGCGAGGAGCAAUCCUUGCCGCCGGCGACCGGCGCACGGGUGAGUAACGCGUAUGCGACCUGCCCGUUGCAGGGGGAUAAUCGGGAGAAAUCCCGUCUAAUACCGCGUAAUGCCGCGGGGCUGCAUGGCCCUGCGGCCAAAGGGAGCGAUUCCGGCAACGGAUGGGCAUGCGUGACAUUAGCUAGUUGGCGGGGCAACGGCCCACCAAGGCGACGAUGUCUAGGGGUUCUGAGAGGAAGGUCCCCCACACUGGUACUGAGACACAGACCAGACUCCUACGGGAGGCAGCAGUGAGGAAUAUUGGUCAAUGGGCGCGAGCCUGAACCAGCCAAGUCGCGUGAGGGAUGACGGCCCUACGGGUUGUAAACCUCUUUUGUCGGGGAGCAAAUUCCGCCACGUGUGGCGGAGUCGAGAGUACCCGAAGAAAAAGCAUCGGCUAACUCCGUGCCAGCAGCCGCGGUAAUACGGAGGAUGCGAGCGUUAUCCGGAUUUAUUGGGUUUAAAGGGUGCGUAGGCGGACUGUCAAGUCAGCGGUAAAAUACGGGGGCUCAACCUCCGUCCGCCGUUGAAACUGACGGUCUUGAGUGGGCGAGAAGUAUGCGGAAUGCGUGGUGUAGCGGUGAAAUGCAUAGAUAUCACGCAGAACUCCGAUUGCGAAGGCAGCAUACCGGCGCCCGACUGACGCUGAAGCACGAAAGCGUGGGUAUCGAACAGGAUUAGAUACCCUGGUAGUCCACGCAGUAAACGAUGAAUACUAGCUGUCCGGGGCGAAUGAGCCCUGGGUGGCACAGCGAAAGCGUUAAGUAUUCCACCUGGGGAGUACGCCGGCAACGGUGAAACUCAAAGGAAUUGACGGGGGCCCGCACAAGCGGAGGAACAUGUGGUUUAAUUCGAUGAUACGCGAGGAACCUUACCCGGGCUCAAACGACACAGGAACGUACCUGAAAGGGUUCGGCUCUACGGAGCCUGUGUCGAGGUGCUGCAUGGUUGUCGUCAGCUCGUGCCGUGAGAUGUCGGCUUAAGUGCCAUAACGAGCGCAACCCCCAUCGACAGUUGCUAACAGGUCAGGCUGAGGACUCUGUCGAGACUGCCGGCGCAAGCUGCGAGGAAGGCGGGGAUGACGUCAAAUCAGCACGGCCCUUACGUCCGGGGCGACACACGUGUUACAAUGGCAGGUACAGCGGGAAGCCACCUGGCGACAGGGAGCGGAACCCGAAAGCCUGUCUCAGUUCGGAUUGGAGUCUGCAACCCGACUCCAUGAAGCUGGAUUCGCUAGUAAUCGCGCAUCAGCCACGGCGCGGUGAAUACGUUCCCGGGCCUUGUACACACCGCCCGUCAAGCCAUGGAAGCCGGGGGUGCCUGAAGUGCGCUGCCGCGAGGAGCGCCCUAGGGUAAAACCUGGUGACUGGGGCUAAGUCGUAACAAGGU